CACGAGUGUAUAUUUGAAGCAGUGAGAUUUGGAUAAUUGACAAGAGGGUGGUACAGGAAAGAAAAUACAAACAACUUGAGUUUCGCUGCUUUUAAUUUCCUUUUUGGAAUGGAGUUGGUGAGGUAGAAACGAGCCAGAAAACUAUACAGGCAAAAUAUAGCCACUGGCAAACAUUCAAAAAAGAAUAAGGGCUCAAAAUUGAGCCAGUAAGUUAAAGGAUGUUUUGGAAAACUGUUCCUUCUAAUGGAGCCUUUGAGUUCUUUUGGGGAUGUGUUUUCAGCUUCUCGCUGUAGCCAUGAGGAUUUUUCCUUUUUCCUUUAAACCAAAAGCUGAGCUUCUCACAAAAUCACCAGAUUCUAUCAUUAAAACUUUGCUCAGAAAACAUGAAUAUAUAAAAACUGAGAGACUGGGCAAUGUUAGAUUGAAAUCCAAAGGAAUUAAAGGCAAAUAAAUAACCCAACACAGAAUGAGAAGACUGAAGGGGAAAAGAAAGCAUCAGAUUCAGAGACUAGAAGCGACUUGCCCCAUCUGAUACUUUACCUCUGAUAUGUUGUUGGCCAUGAGGAACAGGUAUCUUAGAUAUAAGACCCAGCUCAAAAUUCUUCCUGAAUGUAACCCUUUUAAGCCCCACUUUUUUUUUUUUAAAUUUUUUUUUUAUUUUUUUUUGUCAGGUUUCUCCAUUUAGUGAGUCAUAGAGCAUUCAGGUUUCUUUUCUCAGCUGCAGCGUGACCCUCUGCAUGUGGGCUCUUCAGUUCUCACUGUCUUUGAGGCACGCACACCUUUGAGACUCAUCGCCUUUUGUGACAUCCUUUUCUUGUGAAUCUCAGGGCUUGUGCCAGAGUGCAUCACGUACUGAAAGAUGACUGACUUUGUACUGGGGACACCAGGGAUGCUGCCGAAAGCAGGCAACAGAGCCACUGUGGCACUAUGGAUCAAACACAUCCGGAUUUACUUUUAUGCCUCUGAGGUAAACAGUUGCCUGCUGCACUACAUAAAUACUGAAAGAAAAACUCUCCUGGUAAAAGACCUGACCAGCAUGAACUGAGGGUAACUACAGGCAGCUGAGAAGAGCCUAGCUCAG
Molecule: long non-coding RNA, 1081 nt
Filed under: Anas platyrhynchos platyrhynchos (common mallard)
Lineage: Eukaryota; Metazoa; Chordata; Aves; Anseriformes; Anatidae
Description: lncRNA (ENSAPLG00000019452.1)
Source: RNAcentral